CAUCGCCUCUUGUAGACUAAACAUAAGAGGUCCCGCCUGCCCGGUGACCCUGGGUUAAACGGCCGCGGUAUUUUAACCGUGCGAAGGUAGCGCAAUCACUUGUCCUUUAAAUGAAGACCUGUAUGAAUGGCUAGACGAGGGCUUAGCUGUCUCCUCCCCCCAGUCAAUGAAAUUGAUCUCCCCGUGCAGAAGCGGGGAUACUAGCAUAAGACGAGAAGACCCUAUGGAGCUUUAGACACUAGGCAGCCCACGUCAAACUUCCCCUUUCAAGGGGCAAAAACAUUGUGAUUCCUGUCUCUCCUGUCUUCGGUUGGGGCGACCGCGGAGGAUAAAAGAGCCUCCAUGUGGACCGAGGUUACUAGCCUCACAACUAAGAGCUGCAGCUCCAAGCACCAGAAAUUCUGACCAAAAUGAUCCGGCACAGCGCCGAUUAACGGAACAAGUUACCCUAGGGAUAACAGCGCAAUCCUCUCCCAGAGUCCCUAUCGACGAGGGGGUUUACGACCUCGAUGUUGGAUCAGGACAUCCUAUUGGUGCAGCCGCUAAUAAGGGUUCGUUUGUUCAACGAUUAAAGUCCUACGUGAUCUGA
Molecule: ribosomal RNA, 589 nt
Filed under: Hypomesus pretiosus
Lineage: Eukaryota; Metazoa; Chordata; Actinopteri; Osmeriformes; Osmeridae
Description: partial 16S ribosomal RNA
Rfam family: Bacterial large subunit ribosomal RNA
Source: RNAcentral